Molecule: transfer RNA, 86 nt
Filed under: Deltaproteobacteria bacterium
Lineage: Bacteria; Pseudomonadati; Myxococcota; Myxococcia
Description: tRNA-Leu
Rfam family: tRNA
About the family: Transfer RNA (tRNA) molecules are approximately 80 nucleotides in length. Their secondary structure includes four short double-helical elements and three loops (D, anti-codon, and T loops).
Source: RNAcentral
GCCAGGGUGGCGGAACGGCAGACGCAGCCGGCUUAAAACCGGCGGCCCUCGCGGGCGUGCGGGUUCGAGCCCCGCCCCUGGUACCA